This is a non-coding RNA of Zootermopsis nevadensis, 694 nucleotides long. The record is from RefSeq and is a predicted model, not a curated record. NCBI's taxonomy places the organism in Eukaryota, Metazoa, Arthropoda, Insecta, Blattodea, Termopsidae.
UGUGAAUCGCUUGUAGAAGAAGUGCGUCGUAGACUAGAUAAUUUUGUGCUGAGACGUAUUUACGUCAUAUUCUCCAGAACCGUGGUUCCACUGUCACUUUUUCAGUAAUUUCUGACACAAACAUUAAAACAGGCACACAUAACAUAACACUAAAGGCAGCUGACAUUGCAUUAUUGAAUAAACUAAAUCUCAGUCAAAUACCUACAUGAACUUUAAAAGCUGAGGAAUAUACUACAAAUUACCAAAACUAAAAGGUAAAUUCUUAUUCCCACUACUGUCAUUUGCUGUGGACAACAUGGAAAAAAUUCACACAAAUUCUGACAUACAUAGUAGCAACACAAAGCAUGAAUAUGACUUCCAUAAGCUGCUGAAUGCUAACCUAACUAGUCAACAGAAAGGUGCUUACUAUGCAGGGAACAAAUUAUUCAGUACACUUCCAUCUGAUAUUAAAUGUUUUAAAUCUCAAUACAACAGUAUUUAAGAAAGCACUGAAAGAUGGUCUUUUCUCUCAUUCCUUCUACUCUGCAGAAAUACUGUAGAUGUUUAUGUAAACAGCUGUUAAACAGCUAUGUAUUUAAUUUGGAUUGGUAUUUUAUUUUGUAUUAUCUGCUGGUAUUUAUAUUAUGUGUUCCACAACCUUGGCUUGUACUAUGAAGGCUCUAUGGAAUGCAAAUAAAUUCUAAUUCUAAUGCUA